RNAcentral lists this small RNA (125 nucleotides) under Marmota monax (woodchuck). Lineage: Eukaryota; Metazoa; Chordata; Mammalia; Rodentia; Sciuridae. The record is from RNAcentral.
GCUGGGGCUGGUGGCGCACGCCUGUAAUCCCAGUAGCUUGGGAGGCUGAGGCAGGGGGAUCAUGAGUUCAAAGCCAAUCUCAGCAGAAGUGAGGUUCUAAGCAAAUCAGCGAGACCCUGUCUCUA